ACGGGUGCGUAACGCGUAUGCAACUUGCCUCACAGAGGGGGAUAACCCGUCGAAAGACGGACUAAUACCGCGUACACUCCAUCUUGGGCAUCCAAGGUAGAGGAAAUGAAAUUCGCUGUGAGAUAGGCAUGCGUCCCUUUAGCUAGUUGGUGAGGUAACGGCUCACCAAGGCGACGAUGGGUAGGGGAACUGAGAGGUUGAACCCCCACACUGGUACUGAGACACGGACCAGACUCCUACGGGAGGCAGCAGUGAGGUAUAUUGGUCAAUGGGCGAGAGCCUGAACCAGCCAAGUCGCGUGAAGGAUGACUGUCUUAUGGAUUGUAAACUUCUUUUAUACGGGAAUAACAAGAGCCACGUGUGGCUCCCUGCAUGUACCGUAUGAAUAAGCAUCGGCUAACUCCGUGCCAGCAGCCGCGGUAAUACGGAGGAUGCGAGCGUUAUCCGGAUUUAUUGGGUUUAAAGGGUGCGUAGGCGGCCUGUUAAGUCAGCGGUGAAAUCUAGGAGCUUAACUCCUAAAUUGCCAUUGAUACUGGUGGGCUUGAGUGUAGAUGAGGUAGGCGGAAUGCGUGGUGUAGCGGUGGAAUGCAUAGAUAUCACGCAGAACUCCGAUUGCGAAGGCAGCUUACUAAGGUACAACUGACGCUGAAGCACGAAAGCGUGGGUAUCAAACAGGAUUAGAUACCCUGGUAGUCCACGCAGUAAAC
This 707-nucleotide ribosomal RNA is filed under the name uncultured bacterium. RNAcentral describes it as "bacterial SSU rRNA". It matches the Rfam family "Bacterial small subunit ribosomal RNA", at positions 102 to 807 of the family's 1533-position model. The record is from RNAcentral.